Molecule: ribosomal RNA, 316 nt
Filed under: uncultured bacterium
Lineage: Bacteria
Description: bacterial SSU rRNA
Rfam family: Bacterial small subunit ribosomal RNA
Source: RNAcentral
GACGAACGCUGGCGGCGUGCCUAAUACAUGCAAGUAGAACGCUGACUACUUUAGCUUGCUAGAGUAGAAGGAGUUGCGAACGGGUGAGUAACGCGUAGGUAACCUGCCUACUAGCGGGGGAUAACCAUUGGAAACGAUAGCUAAUACCGCAUAACAGUGUUUAACACAUGUUAGAUGCUUGAAAGAUGCAAUUGCAUCACUAGUAGAUGGACCUGCGUUGUAUUAGCUAGUUGGUGGGGUAACGGCCCACCAAGGCGACGAUCGGUAGCCGGACUGAGAGGAUGAUCGGCCACACUGGAACUGAAACACGGUCCAG